GCAGUGGUGAUUCAGUGGUAGAAUCCUCACCUUCCAUGCCAGAGACCUGAGUUCAAUUUCUGGCCAAUGUG
Molecule: transfer RNA, 71 nt
Filed under: Loxodonta africana (African savanna elephant)
Lineage: Eukaryota; Metazoa; Chordata; Mammalia; Proboscidea; Elephantidae
Rfam family: tRNA
About the family: Transfer RNA (tRNA) molecules are approximately 80 nucleotides in length. Their secondary structure includes four short double-helical elements and three loops (D, anti-codon, and T loops).
Source: Rfam by way of RNAcentral